GUGAACAUCUUACCGGACAGUGCUGGAUUUCCCAGCUUGACUCUAACACUGUCUGGUAACGAUGUUCAA
This is a microRNA precursor of Chlorocebus sabaeus (green monkey), 69 nucleotides long. It matches the Rfam family "mir-8/mir-141/mir-200 microRNA precursor family". From Rfam's summary of the family: The bounds of the precursors are predicted based on conservation and base pairing and are not generally known. The record is from Rfam. NCBI's taxonomy places the organism in Eukaryota, Metazoa, Chordata, Mammalia, Primates, Cercopithecidae.